UAGUUAUGUCACAGGAAAGCAUCUCAUAU
This 29-nucleotide non-coding RNA is filed under the name Bombyx mori (domestic silkworm). Lineage: Eukaryota; Metazoa; Arthropoda; Insecta; Lepidoptera; Bombycidae. The record is from RNAcentral.